Molecule: ribosomal RNA, 214 nt
Filed under: uncultured Streptococcaceae bacterium
Lineage: Bacteria; Bacillati; Bacillota; Bacilli; Lactobacillales; Streptococcaceae
Description: partial 16S ribosomal RNA
Rfam family: Bacterial small subunit ribosomal RNA
Source: RNAcentral
UGCCUGGUAGCGGGGGAGUAACUAUUGGAAACGAUAGCUAAUACCGCAUAAGAGUAGAUGUUGCAUGACAUUUGCUUAAAAGGUAGCAAUUGCAUCACUACCAGAUGGACCUGCGUUGUAUUAGCUAGUUGGUGGGGUAACGGCUCACCAAGGCGACGAUACAUAGCCGACCUGAGAGGGUGAUCGGCCACACUGGGACUGAGACACGGCCCAG